This 253-nucleotide ribosomal RNA is filed under the name uncultured bacterium. RNAcentral's name for it is "partial 16S ribosomal RNA". It matches the Rfam family "Bacterial small subunit ribosomal RNA", at positions 524 to 776 of the family's 1533-position model. RNAcentral also lists the same sequence under 1 other name. The record is from RNAcentral.
UACGGAGGGUGCGAGCGUUAAUCGGAAUUACUGGGCGUAAAGGGUGCGUAGGUGGUUUGAUAAGUUAUCUGUAAAAGCCCUGGGCUCAACCUGGGAAGGCCAGAUAAAACUGUUGAACUAGAGUAUGGGAGAGGGUAGUGGAAUUUCCGGUGUAGCGGUGAAAUGCGUAGAGAUCGGAAGGAACACCAGUGGCGAAGGCGGCUACCUGGCCUGAUACUGACACUGAAGCACGAAAGCGUGGGGAGCAAACAGG